This is a long non-coding RNA of Onychostruthus taczanowskii (white-rumped snowfinch), 464 nucleotides long. RefSeq lists it as uncharacterized. The record is from RefSeq and is a predicted model, not a curated record. NCBI's taxonomy places the organism in Eukaryota, Metazoa, Chordata, Aves, Passeriformes, Passeridae. The transcript is spliced from 2 exons.
GGCAAGGGCCCGGGCCGAGCCCUGCCGGGCCAGCGGGGCGUGUGGCAGGGAGCUGUGCCGCUGGCGCCGUGACAGGCUCUGUGUUCACAGGGAUCGCCGGGCGGCACCUGAAGGGGAAGACUGAAGAGCUCCAGCUGAUCUGUGAGGCCCUUGAAGAAAUGGUAUAUGACAUCAGCCUCGGUGUCAGAUGCCUGGCAAUUCAGACUUUGCAUAUUCUCAGGGCAAGACACAGAGUACGAUAUUCCACCUUACAGAACCUGCAAGAUCAGCUUCACAGGGUGUGGAAGACACGGCUUCGUCUUUCGGGGCUCGGGUGCCUGGUCUGCUGGAGCUCUGCGAAGAGCUGAUGCCAAAGGCUCUGUCUGCAGGGACCACCUGUGCCAGCAGCAAUUUUCAGUUUCUUCAACAUUGUUCUUUUCUUCUUUUUGUUUUUCUUUAGUAUAUACAUACAGGAUGUAUUAUAA